RNAcentral lists this ribosomal RNA (462 nucleotides) under uncultured bacterium. RNAcentral describes it as "bacterial SSU rRNA". It matches the Rfam family "Bacterial small subunit ribosomal RNA", at positions 28 to 475 of the family's 1533-position model. The record is from RNAcentral.
GACGAACGCUGGCGGCGUGCCUAAUACAUGCAAGUAGAACGCUGAAGGAGGAGCUUGCCCUUCUGGAUGAGUUGCGAACGGGUGAGUAACGCGUAGGUAACCUGCCUGGUAGCGGGGGAUAACUAUUGGAAACGAUAGCUAAUACCGCAUAACAUUGACUAUUGCAUGAUAGUCAAUUGAAAGGUGCAAAUGCACCACUACCAGAUGGACCUGCGUUGUAUUAGCUAGUUGGUGGGGUAACGGCUCACCAAGGCUACGAUACAUAGCCGACCUGAGAGGGUGAUCGGCCACACUGGGACUGAGACACGGCCCAGACUCCUACGGGAGGCAGCAGUAGGGAAUCUUCGGCAAUGGACGGAAGUCUGACCGAGCAACGCCGCGUGAGUGAAGAAGGUUUUCGGAUCGUAAAGCUCUGUUGUAAGAGAAGAACGAGUGUGAGAGGGAAAGUUCACACUGUGACGG